Molecule: ribosomal RNA, 433 nt
Filed under: uncultured bacterium
Lineage: Bacteria
Description: partial 16S ribosomal RNA
Rfam family: Bacterial small subunit ribosomal RNA
Source: RNAcentral
AACGAACGCUGGCGGCAGGCCUAACACAUGCAAGUCGAGCGAGGACUUCGGUACUAGCGGCGGACGGGGGAGUAACGUGUGGGAACGUGCCCUUUGCCUCGGAAUAGUCCUGGGAAACUGGGAGUAAUACCGGAAGAGCUCUUCGGGGGCAAGAUUCAACGGCGAAGGAACGGCCCGCGUUGGUUUAGGUAGUGGGUGGGGUAAUGGCCUACCAAGCGGAGGAUACUUAGCUGGUUAGAGAGAAAGAUCAGCCACACUGGGGCUGGGACACGGCCCAGACUCCUACGGGAGGGAGGAGAGGGGAAUCUAAGAAAAUGGGGGAAGCCCUGAUCUAGCCAGGGCGCGUGAGCGAUGAAGGCCUUAGGGUUGUAAAGCUCUUUCAGCUGGGAAGAUAAUGACGGUACCAGCAGAAGAAGCCCCGGCUAACUCCGUG